GCAAGUCGCACGAGAUCCCAAUUUAUUGGGUGACAGUGGCGAAAGGGUGAGUAAUGCAUAGACAACCUUCCUUCGACUUUGGGAUAACUGAGGGAAACUUCAGCUAAUACCGAAUAGGUUCGCGAUCGCUUAUGCUUUUGCGAGUAAAGAUAGCCUCUUGGCAAUGCUUUCGGUUGAAGACGGGUCUAUGUCCUAUCAGCUUGAUGGUGAGGUAACGGCUCACCAUGGCAAUAACGGGUAGCCGACCUGAGAGGGUGACC
RNAcentral lists this ribosomal RNA (260 nucleotides) under uncultured bacterium. RNAcentral's name for it is "partial 16S ribosomal RNA". It matches the Rfam family "Bacterial small subunit ribosomal RNA", at positions 57 to 305 of the family's 1533-position model. The record is from RNAcentral.